RNAcentral lists this ribosomal RNA (253 nucleotides) under uncultured bacterium. RNAcentral's name for it is "partial 16S ribosomal RNA". It matches the Rfam family "Bacterial small subunit ribosomal RNA", at positions 524 to 776 of the family's 1533-position model. The record is from RNAcentral.
UACGGAGGAUGCAAGCGUUAUCCGGAAUGAUUGGGCGUAAAGCGUCCGCAGGUGGCAAUGUAAGUCUGCUGUCAAAGCGUCUGGCUCAACCAGAUACAGGCAGUGGAAACUACAUAGCUAGAGUAAGGUAGGGGUAGAGGGAAUUCCUGGUGUAGCGGUGAAAUGCGUAGAGAUCAGGAAGAACACCAGUGGCGAAGGCGGCACUCUGGGCCAGUAUUGACGCUGAGGAGCGAAAGCGUGGGGAGCGAACAGG